Symphalangus syndactylus (siamang) is the source of this 4242-nucleotide RNA transcript. It is a transcript of the gene named solute carrier family 35 member D4, with no coding region annotated. The record is from RefSeq and is a predicted model, not a curated record. Lineage: Eukaryota; Metazoa; Chordata; Mammalia; Primates; Hylobatidae.
UGCUGUUGCUGCUGCUGCUGCUGCGGGGGUCGGGCGGCGGCCAGGGGAUUUGGGCAGGCACCGUGGGUCCCCGGGAAGGGGACGAGUUGACAGAUGUGCAUGAGGAGGUCCCUGGUCGGCCUUAUCUUUUGUACCUGCUACCUGGCUUCUUACCUCACGAACAAGUAUGUGCUGUCUGUCUUGAAAUUUACCUACCCUACAUUAUUCCAAGGAUGGCAGACGCUUAUUGGUGGACUUUUGCUUCAUGUGUCCUGGAAACUGGGCUGGGUAGAGAUCAACAGCAGUUCAAGAUCUCAUGUUCUGGCAUGGCUUCCUGCUUCAGUGCUGUUUGUGGGUAUAAUCUAUGCUGGGUCCAGAGCCUUGUCCAGACUGGCCAUUCCUGUGUUUCUCACUUUGCAUAAUGUAGCUGAAGUUAUCAUCUGUGGGUACCAGAAGUGUUUUCGGAAAGAGAAAACAUCUCCUGCAAAGAUCUGUAGUGCCCUCUUCCUCCUGGCCACAGCAGGAUGCCUUCCCUUCAAUGACUCCCAGUUUGAUCCAGAUGGAUAUUUUUGGGCUAUAAUUCACUUAUUCUGUGUAGGGGCUUAUAAAAUUCUACAGAAGUCCCAGAAACCCAGUGCAUUAAGUGACAUUGACCAGCAAUACUUAAACUAUAUAUUCAGUGUGGUGUUCCUGGCAUUUGCAUCUCAUCCCACAGGUGAUCUCGUCAGCGUCCUGGACUUCCCAUUCCUGUACUUCUACAGAUUCCAUGGCAGCUGCUGUGCCAGUGGAUUUUUGGGAUUCUUUCUCAUGUUCAGUACAGUGAAGCUAAAAAACCUUCUGGCCCCAGGGCAGUGUGCAGCCUGGAUUUUCUUUGCUAAGAUAAUCACAGCUGGCUUAUCAAUAUUGCUGUUUGAUGCGAUCCUGACCAGUGCAACCACAGGAUGCCUCCUGCUCGGUGCACUUGGAGAGGCCUUGCUGGUUUUCUCAGAGCGGAAGAGCUCCUGAACAAGAUGGUCAAGAGAAGGAGACUCACAGGCUGCUGCGGGAGAACAUCACCCCUGGUCUCAUAGCUCCCUGUUGAAUGUGUCAGAAAGAGGAACGCAAGGACAGUGAGGCCAGGUGGGCAGGGCCAUCACCCUCACCCAAGUGAAUGUGGUGGUGGCUGAUGAGGCCCAGGCCCUGGUGCUUCAAGGAGCAUCCUUUCUGGGGGUCUGCAGGUCGCGGCAGAGGAGCGGUCUGUUACAUCUUCCCACUUGGAGAACCUCUCUCAACCUGAUUCUGCAGAAACAGGAAGUACAGGAUUUCAUGGGCUGGCUCUGCUCGCCUCGACUGAGCUUCAUACUUCUGGAUGCCACAUGCUCUCUCCCAAACACUGCUUUCAGUGCGAGAUGUUUCAAAUACCUCACCACUCUGCCAGGUAUCGGAGAGUCUGGGCCAUUCAAGGUGACCCAUGAGUCCUCGGCAAGCAGGGAGCCAGGCCCUGUAGUGUUGAAUACCCACGUCAUUGAUGGAGACCCCCUGCCCCUGGCAUCCGGGAAAUACGCCUUGUCCGUACGCAGCCCCAUGGAGAAUACAGUCAGCUCAGUCGGUGGCUGUUGUUGCUUCUGCAUGUGUUCCCCAACUUGUUGAGAAAAGAAAGAGAAAAAGAAACAGAUAGCGAUGGAUUCGUGUAUUUGGAACUUGAGUACCUUAAAUUCAUGUCCCUGUCUUUUCUUGGUCUCUGCUUGUCAUGUAAGGUAAAAAUGCUAAGAGUGACCUUAACACAUAUGGCUUUCAACUUACUUUUGUUGUUGUUGUUUUGUCUUGUUGUUUGUUUCCAUGAAAAAUAUUUAUAUUUUUUUUCUAACCUCCAGCUGAUUAAACAGGUACCUUACACUUACGGAUUUGGAGGAAAAAUAAUAGUAGCUGCCUGACAUAUCCUCUCACUUUGAAGAGUCUCUACUUUUUUUUUUUAAUUUAAAUUUUUUUUAUUUUUAGUUCUGGGGUACAUGUGCAGGUUUAUUACAUAGGUAAAUGUGUGCCAUGGUGGUUUGCUGCACCUAGCAACCCAUCACCGAGGUACUGAGUCCAGCAUGCAUUAGCUAUUUUUCCUAAUAUUCUCCCUCCCUCCCCACCCCCCGAACAGGCCCCGGUAUAUGUUGUUCCCCUCCCUGUGUCCAUGUUCAACUUACUUUUGUUCUUCAUCUAGGACGUCAAACUUUCUAGAGACUGAGGGUCAAAUAGAAAAUCUGGGUUUAGAAUUGUCCUUAAUCUCUUGCUCCCGUAAAACUCUAUACAAUGGAGACCAGUUCUUUUCCACUUGCAGAAAGUGGCAUCUGUCCAAGUGUCAUUUUCUACCUGUCUUUCCAAGUGCCAUUUAAGCAAAUGGAGGUUCUGAUGACUGCAAAGAGCCAUGCAGUUUAAACCCAGUCCUCUUUCCAGCAGAACUGGCCCCAAAAGCUUUUGCUGAGAAGUUUUAGAUCCUUUUUCAAAUGGUUCUCUAGCAAGCAUGUGUUUGUUUUUGUUUGGUUGUUUGAAUCACCUUUCAGAGUCCUGUUUGGUUGUUUUUUGUUUGUUUGUUUUGUUUCAUUUUCUUGAGAUAGGGGUUCACUGUGUUACCCAGGCUUGAGUGCAGUGGUGCAGUCACAGCUCACUGCAGCCUCAACCUCCCAGGCUCAAGCAGUCCUCCCACCCCAGCCUCCCAAGUGGCUGGGACUACAGGCACGUGCCACUACACCCAGCUAAUUUUUUAUUCUUUGAAGAGAUGGGGUCUCACUAUGUUGCCCCCUGCCCAUUGUUCUUAAAAUCUCAGAUCUUUUCUUACAUUGACACCAGCAAGAGGCAGAGGAUAAGGUGUUUCGUCAGUAUGGUAUCAGUUUCCUUCAGUUUCUAUUGGUUCUUGGGCCUUUUUAUUCAAGCUUUAACCACCAUCUUCUUUUUUUUUUUUUUUUUCGAGACAGAGUCUCACUCUGUCACCCAGGCUGCAGUGCAGUGGCGCAAUCUCGGCUCACUGCAAGCUCCGCCUCCGGGGUUCACGCCAUUCUCCUGCCUCAGCCUUCUGAGUAGCUGGGACUACAGGUGCCCGCCACCAUGCCCGGCUAAUUUUUUUUUUGUAUUUUUAGUAGAGAUGGGGUUUCACUGUGUUAGCCAGGAAGGUCGCGAUCUCCCGACCUCAUGAUCCGCCCACCUUGGCCUCCCAAAGUGCUGGGAUUACAGGCUUGAGCCACCGCGCCCGGCCUAACCACCAUCUUCUAUGCCCAAGUUCACAUGCUCAGCGCUGAAUGGUGAGCCCAAAUACCUGAACAGUGGAGUGGCCCCCUCACUGUAGCCCCAAGCUCUCAUUUUCUGCUCGGGGAGUCUCCAGGUAACCCCACACUCUCCCUUUACCCUUGGGUCCUGUUUGGUGCCUGAUGACCUUAAUCCUUGCUGGACCCCAGUCAGAGCCUUGGGAUUUUGGGUUUUUUAAUUUGUAUAAAUAAAGAAUAUGCUUUCUAUUAGGAGAGGCAAGGUUGUGUACAAUCGUGUAUUAUUACUAAUCUGCUGUGGAUAUAAAGAAAAAUAAGGGCCAGGCACGGUGGCUCAAGCCUGUAAUCCCAGCACUUUAGGAGGCUGAGGUGGGAGGAUUGAUUGAACCCAGGAGUCUGAGACCAGUCUGGGCAACACAGUGAACCUCCAUCGCUACAAAAAUAACAAAUAAAAAUUAGCCAGGCAUGGUGACACACGCCUGUAAGUCCCAGCUACUCAGGCGGCUGAGGCAGGAGGUUUGCUUGAGCUCAGGGGUCAAGGUUGCAAUGAGCCAUGACUGUGCCACGGCACUCCAGCCUGGGCAACAGAGCCAAACUCUGUCUCUAAAAAUAAUAAUAAAAGAAAAAUAGUUUAUUUUCUUUCCUUUGCCUUUCUUUCUGUUCUCUUCAAUAUCGGCAGGGGAGUAUUACAGAAAAUAUUGGUGUUAACCCUGGGGAGGGAGUUCUUGUAGCUUUAACCCAGAUCCAGACUCCUCUUUCUGCCCACAUCCAGACCACUGAGCUUGAAACAGAGAAGGGCCCACCCAGUGCCUCUAGCCCUGUGCUGUCCAGUGUGGAUGCCCCUGGCCACCUAUGGCUUUGGAGCACUGGAGUGUGGUUGGGCCAAAUUCAGAUGGGCUGUAAGUGUAAGAACACACUGGUUUCAAAGACUUAAUAUUUUUAAAAAAGAAUGUAAAAUAUCACAUCAUUUUUCUAUUGAUUACAUGUUGAAAUAAUAUUUUUUAUAUAUUGGGCUGAAUAAAAUACACUAUCAAAAUUA